This 361-nucleotide ribosomal RNA is filed under the name uncultured bacterium. Its description in RNAcentral is "partial 16S ribosomal RNA". It matches the Rfam family "Bacterial small subunit ribosomal RNA", at positions 355 to 708 of the family's 1533-position model. The record is from RNAcentral.
UGGGGAAUUUUGGACAAUGGGCGAAAGCCUGAUCCAGCAAUGCCGCGUGUGUGAAGAAGGCCUUCGGGUUGUAAAGCACUUUUGUCCGGAAAGAAAUCCUUGGCUCUAAUACAGUCGGGGGAUGACGGUACCGGAAGAAUAAGCACCGGCUAACUACGUGCCAGCAGCCGCGGUAAUACGUAGGGUGCAAGCGUUAAUCGGAAUUACUGGGCGUAAAGCGUGCGCAGGCGUUUGCUAAGACCGAUGUGAAAUCCCCGGGCUCAACCUGGGAACUGCAUUGGUGACUGGGCAGGCUAGAGUAUGGCAGAGGGGGGUAGAAUUCCACGUGUAGCAGUGAAAUGCGUAGAGAUGUGGAGGAAUA